GACGAACGCUGGCGGCGUGCUUAACACAUGCAAGUCGAACGGAAAGGCCCUGCUUUUGUGGGGUGCUCGAGUGGCGAACGGGUGAGUAACACGUGAGUAACCUGCCCUUGACUUUGGGAUAACUUCAGGUAACUGGGGCUAAUACCGGAUAGGAUCUCCUGCUGCAUGGUGGGGGUUGGAAAUUUUCGGCGGUUGGGGAUGGACUCGCGGCUUAUCAGCUUGUUUGUGGGGUAGUGGCUUACCAAGGAUUUGACGGGUAGGCGGCCUGAGAGGGUGACCGGCCACAUUGGGACUGAGAUACGGCCCAGACUCAAACGGGAGGCAGCAGUGGGGAAUAUUGCACAAUGGGAGGAAGCCUGAUGCAGCAACGCGGCGUGCGGGAUGACGGCCUUGGGGUUGUAAACCGAUUUAGAAUGAGACGAAGCGGGAGUGACGGUAAUGGGUAAAGAAGCACCGGCUAACUACGUG
This 468-nucleotide ribosomal RNA is filed under the name uncultured bacterium. RNAcentral describes it as "partial 16S ribosomal RNA". It matches the Rfam family "Bacterial small subunit ribosomal RNA", at positions 28 to 507 of the family's 1533-position model. The record is from RNAcentral.